CCCCUAGAUGUUCUGGGCCGCACGCGCGCUACACUGAACAGUUCAACAAGUCUUAACCUUGGCCGAUAGGUCUGGGUAAUCUUUGAACGCUGUUCGUGAUUGGGAUAGACCUUUGCAAUUAUGGGUCUUCAACGAGGAAUUCCUAGUAAGCGCAUGUCAUCAGCGUGCGUUGAUUACGUCCCUGCCCUUUGUACACACCGCCCGUCGCUCCUACCGAUUGAAUGAUCCGGUGAGCUUUUUGGACUGUGGUCACGGCUUUGGUUCGCCAAACUGAGGCCGCGGGAAGAUGCGCAAACCUUAUCAUUUAGAGGAAGGAGAAGUCGUAACA
This 328-nucleotide ribosomal RNA is filed under the name uncultured eukaryote. Its description in RNAcentral is "partial 18S ribosomal RNA". It matches the Rfam family "Eukaryotic small subunit ribosomal RNA", at positions 1470 to 1796 of the family's 1831-position model. The record is from RNAcentral.